This 87-nucleotide transfer RNA is filed under the name Triticum aestivum (bread wheat). It matches the Rfam family "tRNA". From Rfam's summary of the family: Transfer RNA (tRNA) molecules are approximately 80 nucleotides in length. Their secondary structure includes four short double-helical elements and three loops (D, anti-codon, and T loops). Lineage: Eukaryota; Viridiplantae; Streptophyta; Magnoliopsida; Poales; Poaceae. The record is from Rfam by way of RNAcentral.
GGAUGGAUGUCUGAGUGGUUGAAAGAGUCGGUCCUGAAAACGGAAGUAUUGAUAGGAAUACCGGGGGUUCGAAUCCCUCUCCAUCCG